AUGCAUCUUGAAAAAUGGUGAUGGAAAUAUAAAGAUGUUACCCAAAUUAAGUGACCAUCAGAUAAUGGCAGGGCUUUAUGACAGCUGGCAUCAAAUGAAAUUGCAUGAAAUAGGGAGAGUUUCCAAAAUCAUAUCUGUAAUUAAUUGCAUGACUAUGACUGACAAUGACAUCAUAUGAAAUUUGCAUGACUCCAAAAUCAAUGAGAACGAUGAGAGAGAGGCAAACGAGAGAGAAGAAGGAGGUCAGGAGAGAGUGAAGGCAUCCAACUACCCAAUAUUUCCUCUCAUUCUUCAUAAUACACUUUCCUCUCACCGCUUUACCAUUUCUUUUUUCGAAUUCUCCGGCCGUCACAUUCUCAAAACCGCCACCGCCUCCGACGCAACAGCGGACAAGCCGCCGCCGUGACUUCACCCAUUCCGCGUUCAAACUCGCGCCGAUUCAGCCGUGGGGACUCUCCCAAAUACAUUCGGCAGGUAUCUCUCUCUAAAUCUAAUUUUCAAAUUCAUGACCAUCUAUUAUAAAAAUUAAUAUGUAAAGGAAUAUAUAUAGAGAAUAUAUUUUGAGUUUGAGUUUAUGAUUAGUAAAAUUACUGUUUUAUGUGACAAUUACUGAAGUUUGGAUUUGAGCUUGAGUUUGCGAAGGAUAAAUGCUUAUAAGAAGUUGGGAUUUUAGUAUUCAACUUAAAAAAAAAAAAAAAAACAUUAUUUUGUGAAAUAGUCGGAUCCCCCUAAGCAGAAUGAGAUUCAAUGUAUAUGUGUGUAUUUAAAUGAACUAGUUUUGAAGCAAUCUGCUCGCAUUUUUGUUUUCCCUACGCAAUUGGUUAACAACCCUAUUUUUAACGGCUUUCAUAUUUUAUUAAUAUUCGUGUUUAUAGAUUUUAUCACUAUCAGCAUAGAUGAAUAAAUAAUAGUAUAAAGAAAAGCACGAGAAACGUACAGAUCUGCGAAGAGAUUUAAGGUAUAUAGGUAUCUCAAAUCUCAAAUAUGUCCAUAUAUGCAAGCAUAAUUGAAGAAUAUUAAAAAAUUCAUUGUGACUUGUGAGGCUUUGGAAUGACUGUUGCAACAGCUGCAUAUGUUUUCCAGAGUAAAUAGAAAGCUCCAAGAGUCAAAGCCAAUUUAGCAUACUUAUACAUUAUAAAGUUUUGUUCUCACAUAACCCAACUAAAACCAUUAACUUUGCACCUUGUUUGGCAUGUUUCUGGUCUCGUCCAAGAGGCUAUCCAGAUAAGAGAAACUUGAUAGUUCAUUUUAACCACAAACUCCAUAAAACUAUACUCACCAACAAUAAUGAGCUUUUUCGCACUGUCAACUCUUCUUUAAGUUUCGACCACGGCCACCUUCUUAUUUUGGUUACGUAUUUUUUUCUCUUAUAAAAUAUAAUUUUGCUUUUUUAGAAAUUUAAGUCUUUUCAAAAUUUGUAUUAAGGAUAUAAACAGUGGUCGAGGUCAACGUGUUAGAGGUCAAAGUAGCCGUAGUGAUGGUGGUCAAAUAGGUCAAAGUAAGCGUAAUAGUGGUCGUCGAGAUCAAACAACAUAUAGGAAUGUGGAAAUAAGGUACCAUUUAAUGAAGAUAUAUUUGAGACAAAUCAACGAUUGUGACUGUUUGCCAGUAUACGUAGAUGUAGAUGAUGAGAACAAGUCUCUUAUUGUGAUCCAAUCUUGCCACACGUUUCAUAAAAUAAACCACGAUAAGUUUCUGUCGACCAUCUUGACUCACGAGUAUGGUAUGAGGCAUAACACACUUUAUCAGUUGAUAUAUACGGUCUAUUCAAAGACGUAUGUACAUAAUGUAAUGCCACUUAUCAUGCAAUACUAUUUCAUCUAAUAAUUGGCAAUAUCCUUUCAAUUAUAAGUAUCUCCAUGAGACCUAUUGAUUCAUCAAGGCAUUAUCAAAUUCAUCAUUUAUUUGCACCAGAUGGACUUAUCAUUUUUUUUUCCCACUUAACUUAGAGCAUAAUUUCGUCGUUCAUGAAAAUAAGUUGAAACUUUAUCGACUUACGUUUUGUGACUGUUCAUCCCAUAAUAAAACUAACGAAUUUGUUAUUCUUAUUAACGUGUGAAUAAUCAUCAGAAACUUUGAUGGCUCCAACACACUAGCAAGAAGAACAAGUCAUUGUUUUAUUCGGAGGUGAACAAGUCACAAAACGUAAGCCGACAAAGUUUCAAUUUAUUUUCAUGAACGACGAAGUUAUGCUCUAAGUUAAGUGAAGAAAGUGAUAAGUUCAUCAACAACAAAUAAAUUAUGAAUUUGAUAACACUCUUGAUAAAUUAAUAGGUCUUAUAGAGAUAUUUAUAAUUGAAUGAUAUUGUCAAUUAUGAGAUGGAAUAGUAUUGCAUUAAAAGUGGCAUUACAUGUACAUACGUCUUUAAAUAGACGGUGUACAUAUUAUAGAGUGUGUUAUGUCUCCUACCAUUCUCGUGAGUGAAGAUCGUUGGCAAAAACUUAUCGUGAUUUAUUUUAUGAGACUCGUGACGAGGCUAGAUCAUAGUUUGAGACUCGUUCUCAUCGCCUGCAUUUACGUACACCGGCAAGUAGUCUCACUCGUUGAUUUGUCCUUCAAAUGUAGCUUCAUUAAAUUGGUAACUAAUUUUCGUAUACCUAUAUGCUGUUGUAUCUCGACCACUACGGCUACUUUGACCUACUCGACCACCACCACUGCAGCUACUUUGACCUCUAGCACGUUCACCUCGACCACUACUUAUAUACUAAAUACAAAUUUUAAAAAGACUUAUAUUUCUUAAAAAAGUAAAAUUAUGUUUUAUAAGAUAACAAAAUACGUACCAGAGAUAGAAAGGUGGUAGUGGACGAACCUUGGCGAAGGGUUGGUAGUGCGAGAAAGCAUGUUAUUGGUCAGUGAAUAUGAUUUUAGUGAGUUUGUGGUUAAAAUGGAAUGUCAUGUUUCUUUUAUAUGAGUAGCUUUCUGUAUGAGAUCAUAAAUAUGGCAAAUGAGUUGCUAGUUGAUGGCUUUAGUUGGGGUGCAAGAAUAGAACUUGAUAAUAUAUAAGUAGGCUGAAUUGAUGAUGAUCAACGAUAUUCAUCAAUUGAAUUCGACUGCAAGUAAGAUUUAGUCGAAAUAUGGCGUCACAUUUGCUCCAACACUCGCAUAAGUACUUGCCUCAGGUAUUUUACUUUAUUUUGUGUGUGUGAUAAAAUUUGAAAUAAUAUCCAAUGUGUAUAAUAUCCAAUGUGUUUUUAUAUUAUUAUUAAUGAAGCACUAUUACUCUUUUAGCCAAAGUUCCCUUUCGUUUCUCCUCCUUGUAUCAAUGAAUUAUAAUACAUAACAUUAACUUGGAAAUAGAUGGAAACUACACAAGAAAUAGGAAAAUGCUUUAUACCAUCUAAUUAAUUACAAAGAAUUUUGUGAAGAUGAAAAUCCUCAAUAAUACAUAGUGUGAGAAGGUUCUAUAACUAGUUUAGCUUAAUAUCUUCUUCUAUUUUCCUUCAUGUAACAUAAAAAAUAACUAGUAUAUAUAUCUAAGAUGCUACAAAAAGAAUAACUAGAAAACAAAUUAAAAAUAGGACAUCCCUACACUCAUAUAAUCAAUAAUGCUGGUAAUGUCUAGCUUGACUAAUCUUUCUUUUUCUUCUUCUUCUUCGGAGUAAAACAUUAGUAGAUGGUGCUGUAAAAGCGAGUGAGCUGAGACGAAAGGAGCUUCACUACGAGAUAUUCAGAUAAAGUGUUGCAUCGUAUUCAUGUACGUGGAGACCAAGACAUUUCCAUAUUCUUUCGCCUCUUGGGAAAAUACCAAACGUCUUAGAAACUUGAUUUCUACGUAUAUGUGCGCUAAUAAGGAUUCAGUAUAUGUUUUGAUCAGGCCUGUACCUGAGGACAUGCUCAACAUGCUGCCGCAUAGGGUUCCAAUUUUUUAUUUUUUUUAUAUAGUAUAUAUAUAAAGAUUAUUUUGUAUAUAUGUUACUAUAUUAUUGUUGUUUCGUCAAUAUAAAAGAAAAUUAUAAGGGCCCAUUUUCUAA
Long non-coding RNA from Salvia miltiorrhiza (redroot sage), 3972 nucleotides. RefSeq lists it as uncharacterized. The record is from RefSeq and is a predicted model, not a curated record. Lineage: Eukaryota; Viridiplantae; Streptophyta; Magnoliopsida; Lamiales; Lamiaceae. The transcript has 2 exons.